AUGAUCAUCCUCUUACUACUCAUUCUUGGCUUCAAGCCAUUGGUCACCGCCGCCGAUCCAUUGGUGUGGCGCUGCGACUCCCAUUUCGGCAACGAAGCCUACAAAGCUAACAUUAAACUCCUAUCUGCUGCACUAUCUAUGAGUAUCUCAUCCACACAAACUAUCUUUGCCAAGGGCUUCACCGGAACCAAACAAGACCGCGUUUAUGGCACCGUGCAGUGCCGCGGCGAUGUCAGCGCAUCUGCCUGCCCCAGCUGCAUCACCACAGCAUUCCGCAACAUUGGGUGGCCGUGCAUACUCGAAACGGUCACAGCUGUCUUAUAUGAGGACUGCAUCGUCCACAUCUCCCAGGAAGACCUUAUCUACGACUCCAGUGAUAUGCUAAAAAGGUUACUGGUCUUCACGAACACAACGGAACGCACUGUGAGUCUCAGCAUUCACUUGGAAGCGAGUCUUAUGUACAACAGCUCCCGGAUUGAUGGCAACAUCAAGGUGCUGCUCCAAGAGACAGCCAAACAGGCAGCCUACAACUCCACAAUGAUGUACGCCACCGGCCGCCUGGAUGUCUUCCGCGCACUCCCGCUGCUCUACUCUCUGGCGCAGUGCAACCUGGACCUACCACCGAAUGAUUGCUGGGAUUGCCUCAAGAAUAUCAGCAGCGCGGCAAAGAGUUUCUUCAAAGAGCAACAUGGUGAAUGGAUUUCUGGUACGUGGUGCAAUUUCAGGUACAGCACGAAUCAGUUCUAUGAGGGCCAGCCCAUGCAGCAGAUCGACUGGUCGGAUGAUGUGGAUCCAACAACAAACAUGCCGGCACGCAUGCCAGCGCCAGGGCCGGUUGGUGUUCCCAGGCAGAAAGACGAGGAUAAGCCGGUGGUUGUCGUGCCCAGACAGAAACACAAGAGUAAGCAAGACAAUAUGAUAAUUUCUUUCGCCAAAAUUAGGUGGUCUUACCUUUUUGUUGUUCUAAAGUGA
Molecule: ribosomal RNA, 972 nt
Filed under: Triticum aestivum (bread wheat)
Lineage: Eukaryota; Viridiplantae; Streptophyta; Magnoliopsida; Poales; Poaceae
Description: partial small subunit ribosomal RNA
Source: RNAcentral